Molecule: transfer RNA, 85 nt
Filed under: Felis catus (domestic cat)
Lineage: Eukaryota; Metazoa; Chordata; Mammalia; Carnivora; Felidae
Rfam family: tRNA
About the family: Transfer RNA (tRNA) molecules are approximately 80 nucleotides in length.
Source: Rfam by way of RNAcentral
GCCUGGGUGGCUCAGUUGGUUGAGCAUCCGACUUCAGCUCGGGUCAUGAUCUCGCAGUUUGUGGGUUUGAGCCCCUCAUUGGGCU